This is a small RNA of 76 nucleotides. It matches the Rfam family "Flavo-1 RNA".
GCCUAGCCCCGAUGGAAACGGCAUCCUUUUAUGGCGGGGUUUGCCAUAAAAGAUAUAGUGAACAGCGGGAGAAAUG